Molecule: ribosomal RNA, 1442 nt
Filed under: Klebsiella pneumoniae
Lineage: Bacteria; Pseudomonadati; Pseudomonadota; Gammaproteobacteria; Enterobacterales; Enterobacteriaceae
Description: bacterial SSU rRNA
Rfam family: Bacterial small subunit ribosomal RNA
Source: RNAcentral
GGGUGAGUAAUGUCUGGGAAACUGCCUGAUGGAGGGGGAUAACUACUGGAAACGGUAGCUAAUACCGCAUAACGUCGCAAGACCAAAGUGGGGGACCUUCGGGCCUCAUGCCAUCAGAUGUGCCCAGAUGGGAUUAGCUAGUAGGUGGGGUAACGGCUCACCUAGGCGACGAUCCCUAGCUGGUCUGAGAGGAUGACCAGCCACACUGGAACUGAGACACGGUCCAGACUCCUACGGGAGGCAGCAGUGGGGAAUAUUGCACAAUGGGCGCAAGCCUGAUGCAGCCAUGCCGCGUGUGUGAAGAAGGCCUUCGGGUUGUAAAGCACUUUCAGCGGGGAGGAAGGCGAUAAGGUUAAUAACCUUGUCGAUUGACGUUACCCGCAGAAGAAGCACCGGCUAACUCCGUGCCAGCAGCCGCGGUAAUACGGAGGGUGCAAGCGUUAAUCGGAAUUACUGGGCGUAAAGCGCACGCAGGCGGUCUGUCAAGUCGGAUGUGAAAUCCCCGGGCUCAACCUGGGAACUGCAUUCGAAACUGGCAGGCUAGAGUCUUGUAGAGGGGGGUAGAAUUCCAGGUGUAGCGGUGAAAUGCGUAGAGAUCUGGAGGAAUACCGGUGGCGAAGGCGGCCCCCUGGACAAAGACUGACGCUCAGGUGCGAAAGCGUGGGGAGCAAACAGGAUUAGAUACCCUGGUAGUCCACGCCGUAAACGAUGUCGAUUUGGAGGUUGUGCCCUUGAGGCGUGGCUUCCGGAGCUAACGCGUUAAAUCGACCGCCUGGGGAGUACGGCCGCAAGGUUAAAACUCAAAUGAAUUGACGGGGGCCCGCACAAGCGGUGGAGCAUGUGGUUUAAUUCGAUGCAACGCGAAGAACCUUACCUGGUCUUGACAUCCACAGAACUUAGCAGAGAUGCUUUGGUGCCUUCGGGAACUGUGAGACAGGUGCUGCAUGGCUGUCGUCAGCUCGUGUUGUGAAAUGUUGGGUUAAGUCCCGCAACGAGCGCAACCCUUAUCCUUUGUUGCCAGCGGUUAGGCCGGGAACUCAAAGGAGACUGCCAGUGAUAAACUGGAGGAAGGUGGGGAUGACGUCAAGUCAUCAUGGCCCUUACGACCAGGGCUACACACGUGCUACAAUGGCAUAUACAAAGAGAAGCGACCUCGCGAGAGCAAGCGGACCUCAUAAAGUAUGUCGUAGUCCGGAUUGGAGUCUGCAACUCGACUCCAUGAAGUCGGAAUCGCUAGUAAUCGUAGAUCAGAAUGCUACGGUGAAUACGUUCCCGGGCCUUGUACACACCGCCCGUCACACCAUGGGAGUGGGUUGCAAAAGAAGUAGGUAGCUUAACCUUCGGGAGGGCGCUUACCACUUUGUGAUUCAUGACUGGGGUGAAGUCGUAACAAGGUAACCGUAGGGGAACCUGCGGUUGGAUCACCUCCUUACCUUAAAGAA